Molecule: small RNA, 726 nt
Filed under: Rattus norvegicus (Norway rat)
Lineage: Eukaryota; Metazoa; Chordata; Mammalia; Rodentia; Muridae
Description: uncharacterized LOC102547360
Source: RNAcentral
CAAUUCAUAACUAUUCUUUGUCUUAACAUUUGCUGUUAUACAGUGGCCAUUUUGAGAGUAAACUUAUGCUGGAAUAUAGGAAAUUACUAUUUUAAAGUAAGUUCCAAAGUGGUGUGCGGUGUGUUAGACUGGAGCCCUGCAAGCAUGAUAUUCACUUCUCUUUUCCUUUAAGGGCAGCAAUUUUAAAUCCUGACAAAACAGCGUUGCUUAUACAAGAUAUCUUCAGUAAGCACUUGUCAGCGUUUCUUAUGUUCCUGAAUAUCUUGUAGGAUAACCACCAUUUCAUCUUCACGUAUAAAAUUAAAAUACAGAAAAUAUUAAAAAGGAAAAAUUGAAAGAUGUUUGUGACGGUCCCUGUUCUUAGUUCUGCAUGUUGUUAGCCUGUAGCUUCUCAGGCAAUCCUAUCUGAAAGCAACAUUCUGAUUGCAUCAUAAUGAGGAUCAUAAGCUUGACUGAUGAGUAUUAACUUCUGAGCCUGUGUAGUAAAAGCUGGCUACUAAGCCCACAGGCAAAGCACCAAAUCCUCACCCAUGAUCACUUUCUCAGAAAAACAAAGUCUAUUGGGCAAGGCUUCAAAGGGCAAGGCUUCACGUCUUAAAGGUUCCACAGUCUUCUAAAACAGCACCCUAGUUAAAGACCAGUUCUUCAAACACAUGAAGCUAUGGGAGGAACACUGAGAAACAUUCUCUUCAGAUAACUUGUGAUGCACACCAAAUGAUGCUGGUA